UCCCAUUCCGAACACGGCAGUUAAGCCCCUCAGCGCCGAUGGUACUUGUCGGGCGACCGGCUGGGAGAGUAGGUCGUUGCCAGGA
This 85-nucleotide ribosomal RNA is filed under the name Bacillota bacterium. Lineage: Bacteria; Bacillati; Bacillota. The record is from RNAcentral.